RNAcentral lists this ribosomal RNA (274 nucleotides) under uncultured bacterium. Its description in RNAcentral is "partial 16S ribosomal RNA". It matches the Rfam family "Bacterial small subunit ribosomal RNA", at positions 523 to 796 of the family's 1533-position model. The record is from RNAcentral.
AUACAGAGGGUGCGAGCGUUAAUCGGAAUUACUGGGCGUAAAGCGCGCGUAGGCGGUUUGAUAAGUCGGAUGUGAAAUCCCCGGGCUCAACCUGGGAAUUGCAUUCGAUACUGUCAGGCUAGAGUGUGGUAGAGGGAAGUGGAAUUUCCGGUGUAGCGGUGAAAUGCGUAGAUAUCGGAAGGAACACCAGUGGCGAAGGCGGCUUCCUGGACCAACACUGACGCUGAGGUGCGAAAGCGUGGGGAGCAAACAGGAUUAGAAACCCUAGUAGUCC